GAAUGUUUCUUGACCUAGAGUGGACUUAAUACUUCCCAGAUUUGAUGAGGGAGGUGUUUUCUUUUCUGUUUGAAUCUUUUAUGUUUUAUUACUCGUGAGUGACUUUGUCAGCAAUCCUAACCUAGAUUAUGAAGUCCUUUGAUCUUGGAGUACAUUUAAAAUAUCUUGUUGAAAUUGUUCCCUCUCUAUUCAUGUUAUUCUACGAGCUGCAUUAAAUUUCAGUGUUGUUGGAGAAUAUUAUUUUAUAUGCUUUGUUUAAUCUUUCUUUUAAUGCAAUUCAUUCAGACCCGAUUUUUUAUCAGUAUCUUAAUAUUGCAGUGUCCCUCUGCUGUCUUAAAAUUCUUUUUUUCUCUCUCCAUAGUCUGAAAUGUAAUGACAUCUAAUGUUAGCUUCUGGCACGAUGCUAGUCACUUUUUGCUAGCACCCUUCUGUGCAAUGCUAAUCUGACAUUCUGAAUUUUAAGCUGUAUAUCUCUGUAAAUCCUGUCUUUUCACACAGAUCAGUAGCCAAGCCUUUUAUCUGAGCCUUAUAUUACAAAAAGGAUGCAAAAUCAGAAGAUGUCAAUGGAGUAAUCAUUUUAAAAAAUAAGAUACAAAAUUAAAUUUGGUUCAAAUGUAACUGGUGAUCAAAGGACCUUUCUGCAUAAAUUAUUUUCUAAGUUAUUUGUGUCUGUUUUUACUCCUUAGGUUAAGAUUCUACUCAGUCAUUGAUUUAAUUUUGCAUGUCAUCUAGCAUAUUUAAUCUACCAACAUUAGUAGAUUAUUUAAUGUUUGAACAUACAGAAAUGUUGCCUUUAACCAUAUACCAUAGCAAAAACUAAAGCAUUUUAAAUUAUAUGGAAUAAUCAUAUACUAUGUAAGUGUGUGAUAACUAUUCAGUAACAUAUUUAACACUUCUACUUUUGGAAUAAAAUAGUGAAACAAUUGGCAAUGAUUUACCAAGUUGAAAGAAGACAAUCAGAUGAUCUAGGCAUGCCACCUAUGUUAUUUAUAUUUAAAAAUUAGAUUUAUUUUGAGAGUUUUGUUUUCUUUAAAUUCUGUCAUUGGGUAACAUUUAGUUCCUAUCAUUUGGUAACAUGGAUGGACUUUAGCUUCGAAUCAGUACAUGCCUUUAUGGUCUUGUUAAGGUGUAUAAAUGAAACUACAAGAAUAUGGUGGAUGAAACCUGAGAAGGGAGAUAAUAUUUGAUGAUGCACAACAUAUAAUCUAUGUACAGCCCAAUCCUUGUACUUUGAGAGUUUUGUGAUAGGUUGAGAAUUUUCAUAAAAAGGUAUGCCUUGUCCUAAAAUGUUUGUAGGAAAUGUUUUCAGUAUUUUUAGUAUUAAAUCAAUGGAAGAUAUAUUUUAAACAUAUGAGUUAGAUGUGUGCUGUUUAUUUUCUUUUAUUGCUUACAACUAAACUUGGUAGUUUAUGGAGUAUUUUCUAAGACUGUUAUUUAUAAAAUGUAAUAAAACCAAAUUAUUCAUAUAUUUUUAUAUUAAACCCUCUCAGAUAAUUCUGUUAAUAUGAUGAGAACUGGAAAUAUAGACCUCUUAAACAUUUUUGUUUUUUCUUGAUAGGAAGAAGAAAAGAAGUCGGUCAGUUAUCCUUCUCUCCUUAGCCACAUAACUUCUUCUCUCAUGAAUCAUCCAGUCAUUCCAAUGGCAAAUAAGUUCUCCUCACCUACCCUUGAGCUGCAAGGUGAAUUCUCUCCAUUACAGUCAUCUUUGCCUUGUGACAUUCAUCUGGUUAAUUUGAGAACAAUACAGUCAAAGGUGGGCAAUGGGCAUUCCAAUGAGGCAGCCUUGAUCCUCCACAGAAAAGGGUUUGAUUGUCGGUUCUCUAGCAAAGGCACAGGGCUGUUUUGUUCUACUACUCAGGGAAAGAUAUUGGUACAGAAACUUUUAAACAAGUUUAUUGUCGAAAGUCUCACACCUUCAUCACUAUCCUUGAUGCAUUCACCUCCCGGCACUCAGAAUAUAAGUGAGAUCAACUUGAGUCCAAUGGAAAUCAGCACAUUCCGAAUCCAGUUGAGGUGAACCUGACUUUCACAUUUGGAUUGAGAAUCAUUGGCUUUUAUACCUUUCUUGGUUUGACGUGCAAUAAAGAAGCACAUUAUUUUAGCUUCUGGCUACUGUGAGAACAUGAAUUCUGUGAUUCUGUGGGUUUUUUCUUUUUUCUUUUACCAGUACAGUAAGAAAAAAAAAAAA
Molecule: small RNA, 2188 nt
Filed under: Pan troglodytes (chimpanzee)
Lineage: Eukaryota; Metazoa; Chordata; Mammalia; Primates; Hominidae
Description: retained intron
Source: RNAcentral